UUAAUAAAAAAACAUAGGAGAGAAUCGAACUUGAGUUAGUGUGGGUGCACAAAUUGCCUUUUUACCAUUUUAACUAACAAAUUCUACUUGUUUUAAGCUUACAUUUUAAAAUUUUAUUAUUUAUGUGGGUGCACAUGCACCCUCUACUCAUAACCUGCCUUCGCCCCUGGAUGGAGAUAAGGCUGGACAGGGAAAAGCUAUAGCCGAAACAGGAGAUAAGAUUAUUCAUGAGGGUGGGCAGCGAUCUGCUGAAAAACAGAUUGAGGUGGUACGUUCAGUUUCUUGGAUAUACAUGUGUAUAUGAGUUAUGUCUUAAUACGAGCUUUAUCUUAUUAAAUGUAGGAAAAGAAAGUAGGUGCAAUUAAAGAAACAAAGAAUCUUGGUAAGAGACCACGUACUAAUGAAGCUCGCAAUAUUGCCGAGAAGGUGAGGGCACUCCUUUCUUAGUUUGAUGCAUGUCUAUUAAGAAAACAUGUUGCAUUCAACCUUUUAUCUCUCACAACGCAGAGGAGACGCGCUGAUAUAAAAACCAAAAUUGAGCAUCUGAAGCAGUUGACACCCAAUUGCAAAAAGGUGUACACCAUUUGUUUACCUCUUUAGUUUUCAUCUCUUAUAUUGUCAUUUUGAAUACAAAGAUUUGCUGUUACAAAAAAAAAAGAAAAAAAAAAAGAAUACAAAGAUUUGCGUUUGCGUUUGUGUUUCUUAAGUUAAAAACAUGUUGCUGAUAUAUAAAAACGCUCCGUUCUGGCCAACAGAUUCGGUGUAGUUAAAUUUAUCCAUUCAUUAUAUUGAAAAAUACAUUAAAACUACUAAAAUCUUCUCUCAUUUGCGUUUUUGAAAUUUAUAUAAAAUCUACCUAUAAUAUUGUCUUCUCUUUUUGAAACACAAUAAAUUAACAUGUAAAUUUAAAAACAGCCUCUAACUAAAAAUAAUAAUAAAACAAUUGAGUCUAUAUUACUUAUUCUUUGUUUUGAUUUAAAAUUAAUUUGUCAUAUAUAUGAAUCUGCAGAGAGACAUAGCCUCGACCCUUGAUUGUAUCAUCGAUAAUAUACGCUGGAUGAAGCAUUAUGUAGAAGUAAGUAAACUAAAUCAUCAACUUCUUAUAUAUACAUAUACAGAGACAUGUAUAACUAACUAAAGUUUAAUCUUGAUUUUCUGGUUAAGAAAAAAAGUUAUAUUAAAAAAAGCUGCAUUUUGGUAUGUAAUUUUAGACAAUUUCUUGUUUUUUUAAAAUAAAAAUAAAACUAGUUUCCAAUAAAAUUAUGUUUCAGUUUCAGUUGGAUUUAGUUUUGACAUUUUGUUCUCAUAUACGAAGUAUAUACACAGUUUGGUCUGGUUUGGAUAACUUUUCUUGUUUACAUUGGCAUGGGGGGUAUCAAUUUUUCUAGUUUUAAAAAAAUAUAGAACUGUAAAUAUAAAUUGAGUGUCAUAUUUUUAUACGUUGCAUGAGACAAAGGACACAUAUAACGAAACUUGCCAUGAACAAACUACAAAAUGUAACAAUACAGAGUCAGAGCAUGGGUCCCAUGUUACCACUUGGAAUGAAGAUGGAUUUUCCGGCACCAUGGUUCCCUUUUAGCCCUCCCAACUUCAUCAUGCCGCGGUUCGGUUCUUUUACCCCAGGAGAAACUAGCGGUGGCAAUCAACAAAGUGUACCUGUUACUACCAAGAAUUUAUAGGGAUUCAACAAUCAGCCGUACUCGUCAAAAUGUACGUGAGGUAGUGGUGUUUGAUCAAUACUUUAGACGCAUGGUAUCCUUCGUUUUUAGUAAUAUAUAUGUUUAUUGUGUAGUAGUUUAGAGUUGUUCUCCCAAGUUUCCAAGACUGUGGCAUGCUCUUUUGUUCGUUCGCCGCGUUGUUAUUAUGUUGUCACUAUAGUAUUGUUCAUCGUAAACUUAUACGCAUAGUUUUAUAUUAAGCUGUUUACAUGCAAAGUUUUAUAUUAUGCUGGAUCUACAUAACGCUUUCAGGAUCAUAUUAGAAAAAUAUGGAAAUAACAAAAAUGUUCUAGAAAGACCUGUGAUUCAGUUGCAAAACAAAAAGGUCACUAGAAACUUGGAUGGAGUAAUUUCAUCCAACUUAAGAGAUUAAAUUGUAGUUCAAGGAUACACGAAAAAGAAGAAAGCAACAACCUCUUCAUUCAUAUAGUAUGUUAUCGUACCAGCGACAAAUGCUUCAACAUAUUCAGUUCUCUCUUUUUUUUUUUUAAAUAUAAAUCGAGAGGGGCCCUGAUUGAGAGUCGAGUGAAGCAGCUGAACCAGUGUAAGAAGUUUCACUACAAAAAAACAUAGAUGUAAGAAUUAACGAAAAAUAUAUUUUUUGCUAAAAAAAUAAAUAAGAAGUGGGGUUAGAGUUUGAUAAAUUUGUGUCAAACCAAAGAGAUUGUUGCCUAAAGUUGAAAAUCCUCUAAGAUUUGUUUUUAUGCUUCAUAACUGGGUUUGAUUUUAAGGAGUCUAUGUGUGAUUCAUGAUCCGAUGUGAACGUCAUGUCAAAAACAAUCGCUGAGAAGUUGAGAAUCAAUAGGAUUCAGCCACCCAAGAUGACUCUUACCUUUGCUAACUUCUCUAGAAUUCCAGAAUUACAUGUAUGCGUCAAAAUUUUCUGGUUCAUGUUGAUUUUUAAGUUGUGGAGAUGGUUAAAAAGUCUAUUGUACCAUUGAUUCUUGGAAGGCCAUUCAUGGCUAUAUGCAAUAAUUGAUCUUUUCAACAAGUGAGUGUCAUUUGCAAACAUAGACAAGAAAGUCUUUUACAAGGCAAUUCUUACCAGUAGAAUGCAAAGGCAUGAAUGUUGUAUCAUUGUGGAUGUUGUUCAUAUAAAAGAGGUCAGUGAAAAAAGAGAUGUCAAAGAAAUCCUGGAUGGAGACUCUCAAGUGAAUGUCAGUGAGCAGCCUAGUACCAAAGUCAAACGUGAAAGGCAAAAGGAUCAAGGUAGGUUCUUCUGGAUGGAGAUUCAGUUGAGUAUGAGAUGAAUUGCAAAGGAACAUCGAAACCUUUCUCUAAGAUUAGAGUAUUAUUUUCAUAUGAGUUCAAGCAAAAGGGACAAGAGGAUGUGGGAAGCCUGUUGAAUGGCAUUCUGGAGCUCAGCAUGUCCAACUGUGGAGCUUAUUUUAGAGAAAGUUCUUAUACUCAACCCGGUUGAUUUCCAUUUCAAAGUCGAGCUAAAGACUUUAUACAACAAUUUUGUGGGAGACGAACCACUGGUGGUAAGUGUAAACAAUCUCUCUAUUUUUGUUUUGCAGUUUAAUUUUUAGUGAUAAAACUCUUCACCUAUUUCUGAAUCGGAAGAAAAUAUCUCAAUUAAUUUUUUUUAUUGUUUUAACUUUUCAUCUUACAAACCGUUAAUGAUUCUAAAAAAGGUCACAAAAGACCCAAACCAAAAAAGAACUCAAAAGCCUAGCCACUUGCUCGAAAAGGAAACCCCGCCGCACAACAGGCGAACCACCACAAAAGCAACCACCGAGCCACCACAGACGACACAGUAACAAGGAUCUGGAAAGAGGUAGACACCCGAGAACACGAACGAGACUGCCACCGUAAGAAAUCUAAACAGUCAAAUGCCAGUGAAAAAGGUAAGGUUCAGCAGAAGAAGAUGAUGAGCAGGAGAAGUAGGUGUUAAGGCCGAGCAAGUCGGAGGAAGAGGAUAAUGCCUUUCACGCACUCGCCAUCACUUUCAAACAAUAAUCUUACUCAUGAAUUCCAACAGUUCAAGCUUCUCCAACCUCCCCUCGCCGCUACACACCACCUAACAUAUCAUUUGCUCUCCCUUUCAUGGAAGUAAAAACCAAUCUAAACCAUGUGUUCACAAAAAGGUGUUAAAUAUUAAUUUAUAAAGUGUCUACUAUAAUAUAACAACAAACAUCCCCUCUUUAGCUAAGAACAAAAGAAAAAACCAUUUUGGCAGCGAAAAACUAAGAAAAUUUUGUUUUCAUUUAAUUAUCUUUUUGUGUAUCCUAAAAUGAUGAAAGCUCCGAUCAUUUUUACUUUUACCGAUGUGGCACAUACAUACUUAUUAAAUCUAUUUUGAUAAUAGCUAUUUUAAGUUUUU
Brassica rapa (field mustard) is the source of this 4044-nucleotide long non-coding RNA. RefSeq lists it as uncharacterized. NCBI's taxonomy places the organism in Eukaryota, Viridiplantae, Streptophyta, Magnoliopsida, Brassicales, Brassicaceae. The record is from RefSeq and is a predicted model, not a curated record.